UGCAGCCAUGCCGCGUGUGUGAAGAAGGCCUUCGGGUUGUAAAGCACUUUCAGUCGUGAGGAAGGUGGUAGUGUUAAUAGCACUAUCAUUUGACGUUAGCGACAGAAGAAGCACCGGCUAACUCCGUGCCAGCAGCCGCGGUAAUACGGAGGGUGCGAGCGUUAAUCGGAAUUACUGGGCGUAAAGCGCAUGCAGGUGGUUUGUUAAGUCAGAUGUGAAAGCCCGGGGCUCAACCUCGGAAUAGCAUUUGAAACUGGCAGACUAGAGUACUGUAGAGGGGGGUAGAAUUUCAGGUGUAGCGGUGAAAUGCGUAGAGAUCUGAAGGAAUACCGGUGGCGAAGGCGGCCCCCUGGACAGAUACUGACACUCAGAUGCGAAAGCGUGGGGAGCAAACAGGAUUAGAUACCCUGGUAGUCCACGCCGUAAACGAUGUCUACUUGGAGGUUGUGGCCUUGAGCCGUGGCUUUCGGAGCUAACGCGUUAAGUA
RNAcentral lists this ribosomal RNA (487 nucleotides) under Vibrio sp. Its description in RNAcentral is "bacterial SSU rRNA". It matches the Rfam family "Bacterial small subunit ribosomal RNA", at positions 387 to 866 of the family's 1533-position model. Lineage: Bacteria; Pseudomonadati; Pseudomonadota; Gammaproteobacteria; Vibrionales; Vibrionaceae. The record is from RNAcentral.